GUCUACGGCCAUAUGACCCUGAAUGUGCACAAUCUUGUCUGAUCUCAGAAGCUAAGCAGGAUCUGCCCUGGUUAGUACUUGGAUGGGAGACCACCUGGGAAUACUGGGUACUGUAGGCU
Molecule: ribosomal RNA, 119 nt
Organism: Cercocebus atys (sooty mangabey)
Lineage: Eukaryota; Metazoa; Chordata; Mammalia; Primates; Cercopithecidae
Source: Ensembl